GACGUUGCCGAGCGCAUGGUUGGCAAAAUGGCUGAUGACAUACGCAAACAGGACAAGGCCAGUGAUCAGCCGCACCUGUCGAAUUCCGAUGCCGCGAAUGAACCGGCGAAGGGGUGAUACGGCGGUCUCUGCCAUGCUGAAAAGGGUCCGAAGCCGGUGAGUAACAACUGAAUUUAUACCGCGCCCGGAUCGUNNNNNNNNNNNNGCGGCGGAAUCCUAACGGAGACUUGGGUUCUGCGCCAUGGGCGACCGCGCGCUUGCGCGCUC
This 267-nucleotide unclassified non-coding RNA is filed under the name Hevea brasiliensis (rubber tree). The record is from RNAcentral. Lineage: Eukaryota; Viridiplantae; Streptophyta; Magnoliopsida; Malpighiales; Euphorbiaceae.